GACGAACGCUGGCGGCGUGCUUAACACAUGCAAGUCGAACGGAAAGGCCCUGCUUUUGUGGGGUGCUCGAGUGGCGAACGGGUGAGUAACACGUGAGUAACCUGUCCUUGACUUUGGGAUAUCUUCAGGAAAAUGGGGCUAAUACCGGAUAGGAUCUCCUGCUGCAUGGUGGGGGUUGGAAAGUUUCGGCGGUUGGGGAUGGACUCGCUGCUUAUCAGCUUGUUGGUGGGGUAGUGGCUUACGAAGGCUUUGACGGGUAGCCGGCCUGGGAGGGUGACCGGCGACAUUGGGACUGCGGGACGGCGCAGACUCCUACGGGAGGCAGCAGUGGGGAGUAUGACAGAGUGGGCGGAAGCCUGAGGCAACAACGCCGCGUGCGGGAUGACGGCCUUCGGGUUGUAAACCGCUUUCGCCUGUGACGAAGCGUGAGUGACGGUAAUGGGUAAAGAAGCACCGGCUAACUACGUG
This 468-nucleotide ribosomal RNA is filed under the name uncultured bacterium. RNAcentral describes it as "partial 16S ribosomal RNA". It matches the Rfam family "Bacterial small subunit ribosomal RNA", at positions 28 to 507 of the family's 1533-position model. The record is from RNAcentral.